RNAcentral lists this long non-coding RNA (921 nucleotides) under Bos taurus (domestic cattle). RNAcentral describes it as "long non-coding RNA NONBTAT014181". Lineage: Eukaryota; Metazoa; Chordata; Mammalia; Artiodactyla; Bovidae. The record is from RNAcentral.
UGGUUGCAAUAACCGAAUGGGGUAUUCUUAGGGUUAUAUAGAAAUUCUUUACCAGAUCAUUUCUUUGAUGUUCUUCCCCAAAAUUGUUCAUAUGAUACUCUCUUCUUGACACUUGGAGUUUUGAGGUACCAAGAACUGUAUGCUGACUUCACCUCCCCAUACAGUGAGGAAUAAAUGAUGCAGCUAUGGAAACUGAAGAGCCAUGAUGUCUGUUUUCAUACUGAAAAACAUUAGGCAAGAGGACUGCAGGGGUCAUUAGGAAAAAUAGUUUAGAUUCUGACUGUGGUGUAAAGACAAUGAAUAGGACAUGAUAACUUUGAUGGUGUUUUGUGCACCUCUAGAUAUGCGUAAUGUAAGUGUUUAUGAUAUGUGUUUUACUUUGAGAAAUACAGUAAAAUUCUAUAAAAUUAAUUUGGAAAAAUAGGUACAAUUUUAGUGUCAUACUCUGAGGUUUAAAUGCAUAAUUAUGUUGUAAAUUCUGACAGUUAAUAUAUCCACUUGUGUUCAGCUGAGGUUUAGAACUCAAUUUAAAUUUACUUUAAAUAUAGAGAAUUUUUUGUAUUUUUGCAUCCAGAGGAGUGUAUAUCCAACCUGAUAGAACCUCUUAUAAAUAGAAAUAGCUUUGUUUACAAAUAGAGGAUUAAAAAUUUGACAGCUCCGUAAGAAGUGAAUUAUAUGCUCUGAGUGGAAUUACAAUAUGAGAAGAAUCUAGUAAAAAUAUUCCUGUUGCAUUUAAAUGGUGGCACAGAAAAAUUAGAAUUCAAUUCUAUUUUAAGCUACAUUCAGAUCAGAAUUUACUUUCCUCUCACCCUAUCCUAUGCUGGGUUCCAUCAGGAUGUGUUUUAUUACUAUAUUUUUUAUAGUACCAUCCAGCAAAGAUGAAAUGCUACUGGGUACAAGUCUCUGCUUGAGUGUUGUCAC